This is a non-coding RNA of Streptosporangium subroseum, 268 nucleotides long. NCBI's taxonomy places the organism in Bacteria, Bacillati, Actinomycetota, Actinomycetes, Streptosporangiales, Streptosporangiaceae. The record is from Rfam.
GUCAACGACCCUGGCCUGAAGGCCUGGGUUUGAGGUGGCGUACCGCGCACCGAUGGCCCCGCGUUGACCAGCCCGAGUCAUCAGCUCAAGGAGGUGCCUUUUGAUGACUACGUUUCCUAUGAGUGAGAAGACCCACCAAGCCGUGCUUCCUCAGCGGCUUGCUCUGGAAUCGGUGGGAGCAGACAACCCCGGGGGUGGGGACGAAACGGCUCACCGACUCCCGGCCAUGCCGGGCACUGGCUUGGAACAUGGGCGAGGGGAGAUCGAG